GACGAACGCUGGCGGCGUGCUUAACACAUGCAAGUCGAACGGAAAGGCCCUGCUUUUGUGGGGUGUUCGAGUGGCGAACGGGUGAGUAACACGUGAGUAACCUGCCCUUGACUUUGGGAUAACUUCAGGAAACUGGGGCUAAAACCGGAUAGGAGCUCCUGCUGCAUGGUGGGGGUUGGAAAGUUUCGGCGGUUGGGGAUGGACUCGCGGCUUAUCAGCUUGUUGGUGGGGUAGUGGCUUACCAAGGCUUUGACGGGUAGCCGGCCUGAGAGGGUGACCGGCCACAUUGGGACUGAGAUACGGCCCAGACUCCUACGGGAGGCAGCAGUGGGGAAUAUUGCACAAUGGGCGGAAGCCUGAUGCAGCAACGCCGCGUGCGGGAUGACGGCCUUCGGGUUGUAAACCGCUUUCGCCUGUGACGAAGCGUGAGUGACGGUAAUGGGUAAAGAAGCACCGGCUAACUACGUG
This 468-nucleotide ribosomal RNA is filed under the name uncultured bacterium. RNAcentral describes it as "partial 16S ribosomal RNA". It matches the Rfam family "Bacterial small subunit ribosomal RNA", at positions 28 to 507 of the family's 1533-position model. The record is from RNAcentral.